Molecule: long non-coding RNA, 1133 nt
Organism: Tympanuchus pallidicinctus (lesser prairie-chicken)
Lineage: Eukaryota; Metazoa; Chordata; Aves; Galliformes; Phasianidae
Exons: 2
Source: RefSeq, a predicted model, not a curated record
AGGCUGCUCCGUUAUCUCGGGGCUCCCUGGAUGAAGGAACAGACCGACCCCCUCCCUGUACCUCGCGAUCGUUCGCUGCGGUUCUGCCUGGGACAGCUCCAAAGCAGCAAAUCUUGGUGAUCAAGGGCUUCCUCUGGGUUUGCGCCCGUUCAAAUCUCCCGCCGUUGCCCUGGCAACGCUCGCAUCACGUCAGCCGCUCUCGCGACAGCUGCAGGUCUGCUCCGUUAUCCCGGGGCUCCCUGGAUGGCGGAACCAACCGAAACCUUCCCCGUAUUCUGCGAUCAGUCCCUUCUGGGACUUUUUUGGCUCUUCUGGAGUCCUGUUGAACAAAAUCUGAGCUUCAACUUCAUGACACGGCACUGGGAAGUGAUUGGCGGUGCAUGGGGGCACGGGGGUGUGCAGCAGUUCCUGGGAUGAGAUAUCUACGCUGUGGUUUCCAGGGAUUCAGGUCUGACCAUCAUAGCGUUCCUCUUUAGACUUAAACCUUAUGUUUCGCUUUUUCAGAAAGAUUGGAUGCCGGCAGUGCAGGAAGCGGUAAGAAGUGGGUAAGAUUCUGAAUCUGCACUUUCUCACACAUUCUCUGUCUCCUUCUUUCCAUUUGUUGUAUCAGAGUUGUAUCACAGACUUGUAUCACAAGUUGUAUCAGAGGAGGUUUAGGUUGGACAUAAGGAAGAACUUUUUCUCUCAGAGAGUGGUCAGGCACUGGAAUGGCUGCCCAGGCAGGUGGUGGAGUCGCCGUCCCUGGCAGUGUUCAAGAGGUGUCUGGAUGACGUGCUGCGUGAUGUGGUUUAGUGCUUGUGGUGGCAAUGGUGAUGAGGAGAUGGUUGGACUGGAUGAUCUUAUAGGUCGUUUCCAACCUUGUGAUUCUAUGAUUCUAUGAUUCUAUGAUUUGUAGUGGAGGUCGUGCCCAGACAAGUUCACUGUAUCAAUGGCGAAGAAAUUGCAUGGCAAUUUCAAAACAUUUCCUGGAGCAAGAGAAUGAACAACAUAUUUAGAUACAAAUGUGAACAGCAAAAAUGGUAUAACAGUUUAUAAAGUGAAACAAAGAGCAAUCUAGAUUAACAUUAUUAAAUUUUGGGGUUUUUUUUCUUUUUUUCUUUUUUUUCUUUUUUUCCCCCACUCGAUUCUUCUUA